Molecule: long non-coding RNA, 1423 nt
Filed under: Oryctolagus cuniculus (rabbit)
Lineage: Eukaryota; Metazoa; Chordata; Mammalia; Lagomorpha; Leporidae
Description: lncRNA (ENSOCUG00000034677.1)
Source: RNAcentral
GAAGGUACUUGCACUGGUAGAAAAAGAGAGGUGAGGCCGGCGUCACAGCUCACUAGGCUAAUCCUCCUCCUGUGGUGCCGGCACCCCGGGUUCUAGUCCCGGUUGGGGCGCUGGAUUCUGUCCCGGGUGCUCCUCUUCCACUCCAGCUCUCUGCUGUGGCCCUGGAAGGCAGUGGAGAAUGGCCCAGGUCCUUGUUCUCUGCACCCACAUGGGAGACCAGGAAGAGGCACCUGGCUUCUGGCUUUGGAUCAGCGCAGCAUGCCGGCCGCGGCGGCCAUUGGAGGGUGAACCAAUGGCAAAGGAAGACCUUUCUAUCUGUCUCUCUCUCUCUCACUGUCCACUCUGCCUGUCAAAAAAAAAAUAAAUAAAAUUUAAAAAAAUAAAAAGAAAGAAAAAGAGAUGUGAGCAUUUGAGGUAGUGAAUCAGAUACCCCUUGGGACACCUGCAUCCUGUAUCAGAAAACCUGGGUUUGGAUCCCAGCUCUGCUUCCAAUUCCGGAUCCUGGGAGGCAGGAGAUGAUGACUCAGGUACUCCAGUCCCUGUCACCCACGUGAGAAGACUUGGACUGAAUUUUUGGCUCCUGACUUCAACAGCUGUUGUGGGCACUUGGGGAGUGAACCACCGGGUAGGAGAUCUCUGUCUGUCUCUCUGUCUCUCUGCCUUUCAAAUAAAUAAAAAUUUUAAAAGAGAGAAAUCAAAAGGCGGCCAUCAGUGCAGCAAACUCCGUGGCAGGUAUAUUCAGUUGGUGCUAACGGACGUUCCAGGAAUCCCUGGGAAGAAGUCCGAUCUGACACUGCAUGUGCUCUCUAGUCUUCAAUUAGCUUCUCCCAUUUGCUUUUGAUGCCGAUCCACCUCCUUCCUGGAUUUUCCUUUUCCCCAAGCUUGUCUGCAGGCAAGUUUGUGGAGAACCAGCCUCUGUUAUAAUUUUGGUGGGAGAAACAGAAGCCAGAAGACCAGUGAAAAGCAACUUGGCACUGUGUGUCCACCUCAUGGAAUUAUGCAAUGUCUGACCCAGCCACUCAUCCAGAGACGCACACGCGCAAUGAAGAAGAUCCGUGAGGGUAUAGUGCACGCCAUGAUGACUGUGUCCCCGUCCAUGCAGCAGUGUCCAGGUGCAUUUAACGGUCGUCCACUGAGUGGGAGGUGGAGCCGACACCUGGACCACAGUCCUGGGCCUCUGAAGUCUGGAGUCAGUCGCACUGCAAUGCACAGGUUACACGUUCAGCAGGCAAUUACUUUUAUCGUUGGACUUACGGAAAAAGAUUACCUGUUUUUUUGUUCAUCCCAAUACUUGUAAAAAAGCAAACUAAAAUGAAUUCAUUUUCUUUUUCCUUGCUCUAAAAUGUUGUUAUUGUUCUAUACACUGAGAAAAAUCAUCUUUAAAUGGAUUCUCUAUGUACUUGGAAAACAUUUUUGUAUUAAU